CCCUUAGGUGUUCUGGGCCGCACGCGUGCUACACUGAGUGGAUCAGCGGGUCAGGUUGCGCGAAAGCGUUUCCUAAUCUUUAAAUCCGCUCGUGAUGGGGAUUGACGGUUGCAAUUUUCUGUCAUGAACGAGGAAUACCUUGUAAGCGCGGGUCAUCAUCCCGCGCUGAAUACGUCCCUGCCCUUUGUACACACCGCCCGUCGCUCCUACCGAUUGAGUGGUCCGGUGAGGCUUUGGGAUCUGAGCGGAAAGAGCGUUUCGCUGUUUCUGCCCGGAAAACUCAGUCGAACCUUAUCAUUUAGAGGAAGGAGAAGUCGUAACA
Molecule: ribosomal RNA, 322 nt
Filed under: uncultured eukaryote
Lineage: Eukaryota
Description: partial 18S ribosomal RNA
Rfam family: Eukaryotic small subunit ribosomal RNA
Source: RNAcentral